RNAcentral lists this ribosomal RNA (790 nucleotides) under uncultured Verrucomicrobiales bacterium. RNAcentral describes it as "bacterial SSU rRNA". It matches the Rfam family "Bacterial small subunit ribosomal RNA", at positions 31 to 799 of the family's 1533-position model. Lineage: Bacteria; Pseudomonadati; Verrucomicrobiota; Verrucomicrobiia; Verrucomicrobiales. The record is from RNAcentral.
AAUUGNAAGGGACGGCGUGCAUGACACUGCAAGUACAACGGGAUUUUUUUCUGUAGCAAUACAGAGAAAAGUCUAGUGGCGAACGGGUGCGUAACACGUGAGCAACCUGCCGUGAAGUGGGGGAUAGCUCGCCGAAAGGCGAAUUAAUACCGCAUGUGGCCAAGGAAGACAUCUUCCCGACGCCAAAGCCGGGGUAACCUGGCGCUUCUCGAGGGGCUCGCGGCCUAUCAGCUUGUUGGUGAGGUAACGGCUCACCAAGGCUAUGACGGGUAGCUGGUCUGAGAGGACGACCAGCCACACUGGAACUGAGACACGGUCCAGACACCUACGGGUGGCAGCAGUCGAGAAUUUUUCACAAUGGGGGAAACCCUGAUGGAGCGACGCCGCGUGGAGGAUGAAGGUUUUCGGAUCGUAAACUCCUGUCAUUAGAGAACAAGGCACACGGUUUAACUGGCUGUGUGUUGAUAGUAUCUGAAGAGGAAGGGACGGCUAACUCUGUGCCAGCAGCCGCGGUAAUACAGAGGUCUCAAGCGUUGUUCGGAUUCAUUGGGCGUAAAGGGUGCGUAGGUGGCGAGGUAAGUCGGAUGUGAAAUCUCCAAGCUCAACUUGNAAACUGCAUUCGAUACUGCUUUGCUAGAGGAUUGUAGAGGGCAUUGGGAUUCACGGUGUAGCAGUGAAAUGCGUAGAUAUCGUGAGGAAGACCAGUGGCGAAGGCGAAAUGCCUGGGCAUUNCUGACACUGAAGCACGAAGCCAGGGGGAGCAACGGGAUUAGAUACCCCGUAGUCCUGG